GUGUUUGCAGUCUACACCAGACCUUAUGGCAAUGCUGGAUCCCUGACUCAGUGAACAAGGCUAGGGAUCAAACGUUCAUCUUCAUGGAUAAUAGCCAGUUUUGUUUCUGCUGUACCACAGUGGGAACUCCCAAGCUGAAUCUCACUGCUCUUGAACUUACCUGCCAAGAAUCAUUGUAGCCAUGCAUUUAAAUGUUACCUGCUUGAGGCCAGUGAUGGAAUAUGGCAGAAGGAAGAAAAAGGAUGUCAGUCCCGGGCUUUUGGAAAUUUUUCAGAAUAUUUACAGACCGAAGGAUCUCUGCCAAACAGGCAGGGAAGUGAAAAUAAGAGGAAAAAUUUAACAAUUAAAAGGGUGUCAUGAGAAUGGUUGGUCUGAAGAGAAACGUGGAGGAGAUAUUUCAAUAACUAAUUUUUAACGUGAUAUUUCUUUUGUCAACAAGACUAGGGUAUCCUCAUAGGAAUCUGUGUUUAUGGUGAACAUGGAAAAUAUGAUUGGUGGUAUGGAACUCAAGAAACAGCUUGGGAGGCAGGAUGGUGGAAGAGUAGGGGGACACGCUCGCCAUCUCCCACAAACACACACACACACAAAAACACAUCUACAGGUUAAACCACUUGCACAGAACAGCAAUCAAUCACUGGCAGAAGAACCUAAACUCCAAUAAUGGUAAGAAUCUCAUGAAAUAACUGGGUAAAACAAGAGAAAAGAGGAGAGAGAAGGUGAAUCUGAACUGAACGGGCACUCCUGAAAGGGAAUUGUGGAGGAGAAAGGGAUCCCACAUGCUGGAAAGUCACCUACUCGACAGAAAGAUCAACCAAAUCGGAAGAAUCUCCAGAUGCAGAGAAGAGUGCAGCAGUAAGUUGGAAUUCUGAAAAGCAGAGCGAGAACCGAACAGAUCAUCUGAACUACUGGCAGAGUCACCAAAAAUUGAGACACUUGAGUGGGGGCUGGGCACCAAGAUUUCAGCUCCGGAGGUUAGGCCCCAGGAACGGGCUGGGUGGGCAGUGUGGAGACUGCUUGGGGGGGUCUAGGAACCAGUCUGUCAGGUUUGACAGGGCAGAGACUGCCUGGGAGACUAGAAAGCAGAGCAUUGCGGGGGGAGGGAACAAUACACUGAGGGCUGGGAAGUGGAAAGCUACAUCAGAGAGAACCUGGGAGAAGAGCUGGACAAGGCACCAGUGUUGGGGAGGGGAGAGAAGGGGUGGGCCCCCAUAGAAUACUCCCCAUGCCACAGCGAGCUCACUGGCCCACCAGCUAUCAGAAAGCUGUGCUUCCCAGUGCAUCCCCCCCCCCACCUCUCCUCCAUGCACCAGACAUGGGGCUGCCUGCCAUCCCAGAGGGCUGGCCUCAACAACUGCCAGAAGCCUACCACCACAGGGGCUUCCCCUGCCCUGGCCUGCUGGACCUCUUGAGGGGCUACACCCCCACAGAGCAGCACCAAACACUGCCAGCCCCUGGGAAAGGCCUGCAGCCUAGAAAAGCUAGAACAAGCUUGGCUGGGCAGUGAAAAAUCUGCCUACGUGCUCAGGC
RNAcentral lists this long non-coding RNA (1527 nucleotides) under Sus scrofa (pig). RNAcentral describes it as "lncRNA (ENSSSCG00050071013.1)". The record is from RNAcentral. Lineage: Eukaryota; Metazoa; Chordata; Mammalia; Artiodactyla; Suidae.